AGUUUGAUCCUGGCUCAGGACGAACGCUGGCGGCGUGCUUAACACAUGCAAGUCGAACGGAAAGGCCUCUUCGGAGGUACUCGAGUGGCGAACGGGUGAGUAACACGUGGGCAAUCUGCCCUGCACUUCGGGAUAAGCCUGGGAAACUGGGUCUAAUACCGGAUAGGACCUCAAGACGCAUGUCUUCUGGUGGAAAGCUUUUGCGGUGUGGGAUGGGCCCGCGGCCUAUCAGCUUGUUGGUGGGGUGACGGCCUACCAAGGCGACGACGGGUAGCCGGCCUGAGAGGGUGUCCGGCCACACUGGGACUGAGAUACGGCCCAGACUCCUACGGGAGGCAGCAGAAGGG
RNAcentral lists this ribosomal RNA (347 nucleotides) under uncultured Mycobacterium sp. RNAcentral's name for it is "bacterial SSU rRNA". It matches the Rfam family "Bacterial small subunit ribosomal RNA", at positions 10 to 359 of the family's 1533-position model. Lineage: Bacteria; Bacillati; Actinomycetota; Actinomycetes; Mycobacteriales; Mycobacteriaceae. The record is from RNAcentral.